Long non-coding RNA from Drosophila albomicans, 501 nucleotides. RefSeq lists it as uncharacterized. Lineage: Eukaryota; Metazoa; Arthropoda; Insecta; Diptera; Drosophilidae. The transcript is spliced from 3 exons. The record is from RefSeq and is a predicted model, not a curated record.
UGCAUUUAUUUAUAAUGCGUUGGUUAUAUAUAUUUAUUUGGUAGCAAAAGGAACGUCAUCAUAUUAGUGGCGAAAAUUAAGAAUAUGCAAAGGUAUAAUAUGUGUACAAAAUACUUGCGUAUUUUAAAUAUGCAUUUAUUUAGUAUGCGUUAGUUAUAUAUAUUUAUUUGGUAGCAAAAGGAACGCCAUUAUAUUAGUGGCGAAAAUUAAGAAUAUGCAUAGUAUAUCUAUGUAUACAAAAUACUUGCAUAUUUUAUAUAUGCAUUUAUUUAUUAUGCGUUGGUUAUAUAUAUUUAUUUGGUAGCAAAAGGAACGCCAUUAUAUUAGUGGCGAAAAUCAAGAAUAUGCAUAGUAUAUCUAUGUGUACAAAAUACUUGCGUAUUUUAUAUAUGCAUUUAUUUAUUAUGCGUUGGUUAUAUAUAUUUAUUUGGUAGCAAAAGGAACGCCAUUAUAUUAGUGGCGAAAAUUAAGAAUAUGCAUAGUAUAUCUAUGUGUACAAAA